This 301-nucleotide ribosomal RNA is filed under the name uncultured bacterium. Its description in RNAcentral is "partial 16S ribosomal RNA". It matches the Rfam family "Bacterial small subunit ribosomal RNA", at positions 509 to 807 of the family's 1533-position model. The record is from RNAcentral.
CAGCAGCCGCGGUAAUACGUAGGACUCAAGCGUUAUCCGGAGUGACUGGGCGUAAAGAGUUGCGUAGGUGGUUUGUUAAGCGAAUAGUGAAAUCUGGCGGCUCAACCGUACAGACUAUUAUUCGAACUGGCAAACUCGAGAAUGGUAGAGGUAACUGGAAUUUCUGAAGUAGGGGUAAUAUCCGUAGAUAUCAGAAGGAACACCAAUGGCGUAGGCAGGUUACUGGACCAUUUCUGACACUGAGGCACGAAAGCGUGGGGAGCGAACCGGAUUAGAUACCCGCGUAGUCCCUGUCUCUUAU